GAGAGAGAGAGAGAGAGAGAGAGAACCAGAGUUCUCCGACCCGGAAUGAGACCCGCGACUGGGCCUGACCGGAAAACGCUUCCCCAACCACUUCUUCGAGGCGGACCACCGGGAAAAGCCUUGUCUCGUCAUCGCCUACAUCUCUGCGGUGUCGGAUUGUACAUGCAAUGGCCCGGAACGAAGAAUUGACGACUGGAAGCCCGAGCUGCCUCCGGCGAGUUCUGUAGUUCCCGGCGACUCCGGCCACCGUUUGGGCCGCCUGUGAUGAUCUGCUCUUCGUGCUCUACGUGUUAGUUGCUAGUAGGAAGAAUUGACGGUGGUAAUACUCGAGUAGCAGAAUCAAGGGAUGGGCUAGGCUGGGUUCAACUCGCUGCGUUCUUCGUCGGAAAGCAGACCUGUAAUUCUGAGGUUCUGUUUUGAUUUAGUUGAUCACAAGGUGAGUUGUAGUUUGUUGAAGGUUCUGAGAAUUUACCUAUGUAGUUGGCUUCUGGAAACUUGAUUGCAUGUGUUUGUAUGCUUACCGUGAAA
This is a long non-coding RNA of Rosa chinensis, 528 nucleotides long. RefSeq lists it as uncharacterized. The transcript is spliced from 2 exons. Lineage: Eukaryota; Viridiplantae; Streptophyta; Magnoliopsida; Rosales; Rosaceae. The record is from RefSeq and is a predicted model, not a curated record.